GCGCCAUGCUAGGGAUGACAACUUAGCUUAUGUGGAGUUAGAAGUGUCAACAAGCAUUUCUGACACCUUUGCCGGGGAAGGAAUAAUUUUUUUGAGAAAAAUUACCUAAACAAAUACUUAAUAACUGAGUAGGUAGCUUGCUAGUCAUCUCUACUUGGUUGGUUUACCCUUGUUUGUUUUUUGUGUUUAUUUUUUUAUACAGGGUAUUAGCAGGAUUGAAACUGAUUCACUCAAUUCUUUAUCCAAAUCGGAUCAAUCAAGAAGGAAGCUCGUCACCAGUUGUUGAUGCAAAAGUGGAUCUGCAAACACAAAGGGCUAAUACCCGAUUCAAUGUUAAGGCGUGCCAGCCGAUUUGACCUUGCAAUCGACAAAGGUGAUAACUCGAAUACGACAACAGCGAUACGUCCGGAUGGCAUGGCCAAGAGGUAUUCACGCGGAACUUGAGAACUCGCCGAGGUUGACUCGAUGAAUUCUUAAGAACUCGUAAGUAAAAAGAAAAUAUGCGAGUUGCCGAAGUCGUCGAAAAAGUAGAUGCUAGAAUAGAUAUAAAAACUUGUGUUUGAUUGAUUGUGAUUGUUUCUUACAUGGCUACG
RNAcentral lists this long non-coding RNA (593 nucleotides) under Sorghum bicolor (sorghum). Its description in RNAcentral is "long non-coding RNA (SBIC_LNC010055)". The record is from RNAcentral. Lineage: Eukaryota; Viridiplantae; Streptophyta; Magnoliopsida; Poales; Poaceae.